GCGCGCGUAGCUCAGCUGGAUAGAGCACUAGUCUCCGGAACUAGGGGUCGCAGGUUCGAAUCCUGCCGCGCGUACCA
Molecule: transfer RNA, 77 nt
Filed under: Candidatus Polarisedimenticola svalbardensis
Lineage: Bacteria; Pseudomonadati; Acidobacteriota; Candidatus Polarisedimenticolia; Candidatus Polarisedimenticolales; Candidatus Polarisedimenticolaceae
Also listed under: 1 other name
Description: tRNA-Arg
Rfam family: tRNA
About the family: Transfer RNA (tRNA) molecules are approximately 80 nucleotides in length. Their secondary structure includes four short double-helical elements and three loops (D, anti-codon, and T loops). Further hydrogen bonds mediate the characteristic L-shaped molecular structure. tRNAs have two regions of fundamental functional importance: the anti-codon, which is responsible for specific mRNA codon recognition, and the 3' end, to which the tRNAs corresponding amino acid is attached (by aminoacyl-tRNA synthetases). tRNAs cope with the degeneracy of the genetic code in two manners: having more than one tRNA (with a specific anti-codon) for a particular amino acid; and 'wobble' base-pairing, i.e. permitting non-standard base-pairing at the 3rd anti-codon position.
Source: RNAcentral